This is a small nuclear RNA of Myotis lucifugus (little brown bat), 161 nucleotides long. Its record names the gene U1. It matches the Rfam family "U1 spliceosomal RNA". From Rfam's summary of the family: U1 is a small nuclear RNA (snRNA) component of the spliceosome (involved in pre-mRNA splicing). Lineage: Eukaryota; Metazoa; Chordata; Mammalia; Chiroptera; Vespertilionidae. The record is from Ensembl.
UUACUUACCUGGCAGGGGAGAUACCAUGAUUACAAGGUGGUUUUCACAGAGCGAGGCUUAUUCAUUGCACUCUGGAUGUGCUGACCCCUGUGGUUUCCCCAAAAAGGGAAACUCAACUGCAUAAUUUAUGGUAGUGGGGAACUGCAUUUGCAGUCUCCCCU